GUCCGGAUGGCGCAGUGGCCAGUGCAUCUGCCUAGUAAGCAGGAGACGCGGGUUCGAAUCCCAUUCCGGCACA
Schistocerca piceifrons (Central American locust) is the source of this 73-nucleotide non-coding RNA. The record is from the annotation of a RefSeq genome assembly. NCBI's taxonomy places the organism in Eukaryota, Metazoa, Arthropoda, Insecta, Orthoptera, Acrididae.